RNAcentral lists this unclassified non-coding RNA (258 nucleotides) under Hevea brasiliensis (rubber tree). The record is from RNAcentral. Lineage: Eukaryota; Viridiplantae; Streptophyta; Magnoliopsida; Malpighiales; Euphorbiaceae.
UAAUUAGAUUCACAAUGUAUAGUCUUCGGCAUUUGUGUAUUUUAGAAAACGUUUGGUUGGAUGUGCUUUUGCAUGGUAAUUGGUACUGGGUGCUGGGUAGGCAAUAGUUGAAGUCCUAUUCUCUGGCCUUUUAUCCAGAGAUAAGGGUGAAGAAUUCUUGUGAGAAAACAAAAUUCAUUAUUCGAUGGAAUCAGAGUUAUUCAAGUGCAAAAGAAACACCAAGAAUUGAUGCUAAAUUGUGGUUUAUGAUAUCCCGCA